UAUGUACUCCCUCCGAUCCAUAUUAAUUGUCAAAAUAUUACAUGUAUCUAGAUGCUUUUUAGGCAUAGAUACAUCGAUAUUUGGGCAAGUUUGAGACAAUUAAUAUGGAUCGGAGGGAAUAAUUC
Molecule: non-coding RNA, 125 nt
Organism: Brachypodium distachyon (stiff brome)
Lineage: Eukaryota; Viridiplantae; Streptophyta; Magnoliopsida; Poales; Poaceae
Source: Rfam